Long non-coding RNA from Panthera uncia (snow leopard), 638 nucleotides. RefSeq lists it as uncharacterized. The record is from RefSeq and is a predicted model, not a curated record. NCBI's taxonomy places the organism in Eukaryota, Metazoa, Chordata, Mammalia, Carnivora, Felidae. The transcript is spliced from 4 exons.
UGGCACCACAGUGGGCAGUGACCCGCCGGGUCGUCCGUCUACCCCGAGCGAGCUGGGUCCUGAUCCUGCAGCUCCUGGAGGGACAGGGGUCAUAGGUGAAGUACACCUGGCAGGCCUCGAUCUCCAGAGCGUCCGGGAGGUGGAAGAAGAAAUAGCCCUGAUUGGUGAAGCAGCUGGUCAGCGAGUGGCCGCUGGUCUCGGCUGAGGACGAGGAGGGCACCUUCUCCUGCUGUAGCAGGAGCAACAGUGUGGCCUUGGCGUCCCUGUCCAGCACCUCCAGCGGGGAGAUCUCGGGUGCCGGCGUGUUGGGGCUGAAGGACGACGAGGGGAAGGGAGAGGAGAGCCACUUCUGCCAGGAGAAAGAGCAGCGGGGAGGCGAGGAAACGGAGCACAGAGAAGUUCUCUAACUUACCAAACAUCACACAGCCAAGAAGGGGCGGAGCCGGGAUUAGAACCCACUCCUCCUUCAGAUUUCAAGGGACCCAUCACUUCCUUGGAGAAGCUUCUGCCAGCCACCCCUCAGCCAAGGUUCCUGUCCCUGUUGUCUAUUUCCAACACAUCGAACAUCUUCCUUUGCCAUCCUCCUCGUGGCGUGUCAUUGUACUCGUGUGUGAUUAAUAAACGUCUGCCUUCUCCCA